RNAcentral lists this ribosomal RNA (868 nucleotides) under Mycobacterium sp. STR-8. RNAcentral's name for it is "bacterial SSU rRNA". It matches the Rfam family "Bacterial small subunit ribosomal RNA", at positions 78 to 959 of the family's 1533-position model. RNAcentral also lists the same sequence under 1 other name. Lineage: Bacteria; Bacillati; Actinomycetota; Actinomycetes; Mycobacteriales; Mycobacteriaceae. The record is from RNAcentral.
CUUCGGAGGUACUCGAGUGGCGAACGGGUGAGUAACACGUGGGUAAUCUGCCCUGCACUUCGGGAUAAGCCUGGGAAACUGGGUCUAAUACCGAAUAGGACCAUUUAGCGCAUGCUUUAUGGUGGAAAGCUUUUGCGGUGUGGGAUGGGCCCGCGGCCUAUCAGCUUGUUGGUGGGGUGACGGCCUACCAAGGCGACGACGGGUAGCCGGCCUGAGAGGGUGUCCGGCCACACUGGGACUGAGAUACGGCCCAGACUCCUACGGGAGGCAGCAGUGGGGAAUAUUGCACAAUGGGCGCAAGCCUGAUGCAGCGACGCCGCGUGGGGGAUGACGGCCUUCGGGUUGUAAACCUCUUUCAGCAGGGACGAAGCGCAAGUGACGGUACCUGCAGAAGAAGCACCGGCCAACUACGUGCCAGCAGCCGCGGUAAUACGUAGGGUGCGAGCGUUGUCCGGAAUUACUGGGCGUAAAGAGCUCGUAGGUGGUUUGUCGCGUUGUUCGUGAAAACCGGGGGCUUAACCCUCGGCGUGCGGGCGAUACGGGCAGACUGGAGUACUGCAGGGGAGACUGGAAUUCCUGGUGUAGCGGUGGAAUGCGCAGAUAUCAGGAGGAACACCGGUGGCGAAGGCGGGUCUCUGGGCAGUAACUGACGCUGAGGAGCGAAAGCGUGGGGAGCGAACAGGAUUAGAUACCCUGGUAGUCCACGCCGUAAACGGUGGGUACUAGGUGUGGGUUUCCUUCCUUGGAAUCCGUGCCGUAGCUAACGCAUUAAGUACCCCGCCUGGGGAGUACGGCCGCAAGGCUAAAACUCAAAGGAAUUGACGGGGGCCCGCACAAGCGGCGGAGCAUGUGGAUUAAUUCGAUGCAA